RNAcentral lists this non-coding RNA (26 nucleotides) under Mus musculus (house mouse). Lineage: Eukaryota; Metazoa; Chordata; Mammalia; Rodentia; Muridae. The record is from RNAcentral.
CUGUGGUACAUAGGGAAGCAGGCUAC